Molecule: long non-coding RNA, 996 nt
Filed under: Mytilus galloprovincialis (Mediterranean mussel)
Lineage: Eukaryota; Metazoa; Mollusca; Bivalvia; Mytilida; Mytilidae
Source: RNAcentral
CAAACAAGCAAGCAAGCUAACCAAAGUUUUGCUCCACAUGCAUAAGAAAUAAGCUGUAAUGAUUUUAUCAAUAUGUAUGUGCGACAAGGUGGAAAAUUUGAUAUGUUUUGUGAAAAUUGCAGCGUUGGAUCUAUAAUAAAAAAGAAGAUGUGGUAUGAUUGCCAAUGAGACAGCUGUCCACUAGAGACCAAAAUGACACAGAAAUGAACAUUUAUAGAUCACCGUACGGCUUUCAACAAUGAGCAAAGCCCAUACCGCAUAGUCAGCUAUAAAAGUCCCCGAUAUGACAAUGUAAAACAAUUCAAACGAGAAAACUAACGGCCUUAAUUAUAUAAAAAAAAAUGAACGAAAAACAAAUAUGUAACACAUAAACAAACGACAACCACUGAAAUACAGGCUCCUAUACAAUAUAUUUUUUUUGAUGGGAUAGAUUUCUUGUCCUUUUAUAUAUUUAAUUGGGCCGUUUUUUUUUUGUUUUUUUUUGUUUUUUUUUUUGUUUUUUUUUGUUUGGAUUGUUUUACACAAGUAAUUUUUGGGUCAUUAAUAGCUUACUUUUCAGCAUUGGACCUAUGACUGCUUACUUUAAUAAAUUAUGUCUUUGUUGGAAAGAUGUCUCAUUUGGCACUCAUACCGCAUCUUCUUAUUUCUAUAUACAAAGCACGUUAGAAAAAAAAUAAUAGGUAAUAUGGCACCCACUAUGAUCCAGAGACUUUUAAUAUUGGAGAUAUUUUACAUAUGUCAACAGGACAGCAGCUGAACGAUAAAAAAAAACAACUCUGAGGUAUAUUUUGUGAUAAAAUUAGCAACAAACGGAUAUUAUCGAUGGAUGAAUUUAAACUAUAAAAAAUGUAUUGAGCUAUAUACCGUACCCGCUCAGUGGCGGAUCCAGGGGCGGGGGUUCCGGGGGAUGGACCCCCUUUUUUAGGACGAUCAGUGCAUUUGGAUGGGGACAUGUAGUUGGAACCCCUCCCCUUUUGUCCAGGGUUAGGACCCCCC